GGUUUCGAAGAUCGCGCCGGUGCCUCGAAAGAGGCUUAAAACGGGAAGGCGGUGCGGGUGGUUUUCCGCCCAACUCCGCAGCUGUCCCUGCAACUGUAAGCGGCGAGCGCGAUGCACAUCGUUUCCUCCCAGUCGGGGGAAGCAGCCACUGGGCCGGACGCUAAGUCAUGCGGGGCCUGGGAAGGCGUGCAUCAAGCCCUGACCCGCGAGCCAGGAGACCUGCCGGCGUUCUGGUCGCUCU
RNAcentral lists this non-coding RNA (241 nucleotides) under Novosphingobium sp. AP12. The record is from RNAcentral. Lineage: Bacteria; Pseudomonadati; Pseudomonadota; Alphaproteobacteria; Sphingomonadales; Sphingomonadaceae. RNAcentral also lists the same sequence under 1 other name.